UUUGUCAUUGAUUUGUUUUCAGUGAAACUGUGUUUUUUUGUGCAGCAUUUAAGCAAUCCAGUACAACCUCCAGCUCUACACCUCCUUGCCAUAAUGUUGCCAGUAAAACUGUAUAAAAGGAACCUGAGCCUGAAGGUUUCAGGCGGCACACCUUGGAAAUUCUACACAUGAUCUGGCUGAGGCUUGAUAACCUGACUGCCCUGAUGGGCACUGUGUUAGAAGCUGUGAACAAGCACAAGGAGGACGAUGACGACAACUUCCCCGUUCAGGAGCCACCCGCAAGCUAUGACACCUUCAUGGAAUCUAAGUGCCAACUACAGGCUAGCGAAGCCAUGAGAAAAAAAGCUGCUGGAAAGGGCAAAAGGGCAAGGCGAAAUUCCAACAGCUGCAGUGUGUUGAGCUCAUUUACCAAGCUGUAAAAAGAAACCCCCGUAUCACAACGACACGUCACGACAUUGAGGAGGUAAUCAAGACGUGGCUACGACACGCGGCGGAGAAGCUCAGGAAGCUUGAGGAAUCUGGUCUUGGCAACACCCCCUAACUUUUUAUGAACAUCUAUAUCCAUGUAUAGUGUGCACCUUCUUUAAUUCAUGCUUUAUUUUCUCUCUUCAAGCCCAUCUUCAGGUAAUACUUGUUUGACCCGCAGCCACAAUAACACCAAAGAACAAGUUUUGUUAGUUUGUCAUUAUCAUUUCCAGUUGUUUUAGUGUUCAAAUUCUAGUAUCUUUAUCUAAUAUUUUUUUCUCAUUAUUUAUAAUGAAUGCC
RNAcentral lists this unclassified non-coding RNA (765 nucleotides) under Ixodes scapularis (black-legged tick). Its description in RNAcentral is "uncharacterized LOC115319681, transcript variant X1". The record is from RNAcentral. Lineage: Eukaryota; Metazoa; Arthropoda; Arachnida; Ixodida; Ixodidae.